Odocoileus virginianus texanus is the source of this 1276-nucleotide non-coding RNA. Lineage: Eukaryota; Metazoa; Chordata; Mammalia; Artiodactyla; Cervidae. The record is from RefSeq and is a predicted model, not a curated record.
GGCAGCUUCCGACGGCAGGAUGUCUCACAGGAAGUUCUCCGCUCCCAGGCACGGGUCCCUGGGCUUCCUGCCUCGGAAGCGCAGCAGCCGGCACCGCCGGAAGGUGAAGCGCUUCCCCAGGGAUGACUCUUCCAAGCCGUGCACCUCACCGCCUUCCUCGGCUACAAGGCUGGCAUGACCCACAUUGUGAGGGAGGUCGACAGGCCAGGGUCCAAGGUGAACAAGAAGGAGGUUGUGGAGGCUGUGACCAUCGUGGAGACUCCGCCCAUGGUGACUGUGGGCAUCGUGGGCUACGUGGAAACACCCGAGGCCUCCGGACCUUUAAGACCAUCUUUGCUGAGCAUGUCAGUGACGAGUGCAAAAGGCGCUUCUACAAGAACUGGCAUAAAUCUAAGAAGAAGGCCUUCACCAAAUACUGCAAGAAGUGGCAGGACGUAGAUGGCAAGAAGCAACUGGAGAGGGACUUCAGCAGCAUGAAGAAGUACUGUCAGGUCAUCCGUGUCAUUGCCCACAGCCAGAUGCGCCUGCUUCCUCUGUGCCAGAAGAAGGCCCACCUCAUGGAGAUCCAGGUGAACGGAGGCACUGUGGCUGAAAAACUGGACUGGGCCUGCGAGAGGCUUGAGCAGCAGGUCCCUGUGAACCAAGUAUUUGGCCAGGAUGAGAUGACUGAUGUCAUUGGGGUGACCAAGGGCAAAGGCUACAAAGGGGUCACCAGCUGGUGGCUCACCAAGAAGCUGCCCCGUAAGACCCACCGAGGGCUGCGCAAGGUUGCCGGUACUGGGGCGUUGCAUCCCGCCCGGGUGGCCUUCCCUGGGCUCGGGCUGGGCAGAAAGGCUACCAUUACCGCACUGAGAUCAACAAGAAGAUUCACAAGAUCGGUCAGGGCUACCUCAUCAAGGAUGGCAAACUGAUCCAGAACAACACCUCUACUGAUUACGAUCUGUCUGACAAAAGCAUCAACCCUCUGGGCGGCUUUGUCCACUACGGUGAGGUGACCAAUGACUUUGUCACGCUCAAAGGCUGUGUGGUGGGAACCAAGAAGCAGUGCUCACUCUGCGCAAGUCCUUUGCUGGUGCAGACCACACGGCGGGCCCUGGAGAAGACUGACCUCACUUAUUGACACCACCUCCAAAUUUGGUCAUGGUCGCUUCCAGACUGUGGAGGAGAGGAAAACCUUCACGGGACCACUUAAGAAGGACCGAAUUGCCAAGGAAGAAGGGGCCUAAUAGAACAGAUUGUACAGCUGGUAGAAUCUCAAUAAAAUUAUUUUCCAGUG